UACGGGGGGAGCAAGCGUUGUUCGGAUUUACUGGGCGUAAAGGGCGCGUAGGCGGCCAGUGCAAGUCAGUUGUGAAAUCUCCGAGCUUAACUCGGAAAGGUCAACUGAUACUGCUCGGCUAGAGUGCGGAAGGGGCAACUGGAAUUCUUGGUGUAGCGGUGAAAUGCGUAGAUAUCAGGAGGAACACCAAUGGCGAAGGCAGCUCGCUGGGACGGUACUGACGCUGAGACGCGAAAGCGUGGGGAGCAAACAGG
RNAcentral lists this ribosomal RNA (254 nucleotides) under uncultured bacterium. RNAcentral's name for it is "partial 16S ribosomal RNA". It matches the Rfam family "Bacterial small subunit ribosomal RNA", at positions 524 to 776 of the family's 1533-position model. The record is from RNAcentral.